AUUGAACGCUGGCGGCAGGCCUAACACAUGCAAGUCGAGCGGCAGCGGAAAGUAGCUUGCUACUUUGCCGGCGAGCGGCGGACGGGUGAGUAAUGUCUGGGAAACUGCCUGAUGGAGGGGGAUAACUACUGGAAACGGUAGCUAAUACCGCAUAACGUCGCAAGACCAAAGAGGGGGACCUUCGGGCCUCUUGCCAUCAGAUGUGCCCAGAUGGGAUUAGCUAGUAGGUGGGGUAACGGCUCACCUAGGCGACGAUCCCUAGCUGGUCUGAGAGGAUGACCAGCCACACUGGAACUGAGACACGGUCCAGACUCCUACGGGAGGCAGCAGUGGGGAAUAUUGCACAAUGGGCGCAAGCCUGAUGCAGCCAUGCCGCGUGUAUGAAGAAGGCCUUCGGGUUGUAAAGUACUUUCAGCGGGGAGGAAGGCGUUGAGGUUAAUAACCUCAGCGAUUGACGUUACCCGCAGAAGAAGCACCGGCUAACUCCGUGCCAGCAGCCGCCGUAA
This 506-nucleotide ribosomal RNA is filed under the name uncultured bacterium. RNAcentral's name for it is "partial 16S ribosomal RNA". It matches the Rfam family "Bacterial small subunit ribosomal RNA", at positions 30 to 523 of the family's 1533-position model. The record is from RNAcentral.